Molecule: ribosomal RNA, 497 nt
Filed under: uncultured bacterium
Lineage: Bacteria
Description: partial 16S ribosomal RNA
Rfam family: Bacterial small subunit ribosomal RNA
Source: RNAcentral
GAUGAACGCUGGCGGCGUGCCUAAUACAUGCAAGUCGAGCGAACGGACGAGAAGCUUGCUUCUCUGAUGUUAGCGGCGGACGGGUGAGUAACACGUGGAUAACCUACCUAUAAGACUGGGAUAACUUCGGGAAACCGUCGCUAAUACCGGAUAAUAUUUUGAACCGCAUGGUUCAAUAGUGAAAUACGGUCUUGCUGUCACUUAUAGAUGGAUCCGCGCUGCAUUAGCUAGUUGGUAAGUUAACGGCUUACCAAGGCGACGAUGCAUAGCCGACCUGAGAGGGUGAUAGGCCACACUGGAAGUGAGACACGGUCCAGACGCCUACGGGAGGCAGCAGUAGGGAAUCUUCCGCAAUGGGCGAAAGCCUGACGGAGCAACGCCGCGUGAGUGAUGAAGGUCUUCGGAUCGUAAAACUCUGUUAUUAGGGAAGAACAUAUGUGUAAGUAACUGUGCACAGCUUGACGGUACCUAAUCAGAAAGCCACGGCUAACUACGUG